UUAAGCGACUAAGCGUACACGGUGGAUGCCCUGGCAGUCAGAGGCGAUGAAGGGCGUGCUAAUCUGCGAUAAGCGCCGGUAAGGUGAUAUGAACCGUUAUAACCGGCGAUACCCGAAUGGGGAAACCCAGUGUGAUUCGUCACACUAUCAUUAACUGAAUCCAUAGGUUAAUGAGGCGAACCGGGGGAACUGAAACAUCUAAGUACCCCGAGGAAAAGAAAUCAACCGAGAUUCCCCCAGUAGCGGCGAGCGAACGGGGAGGAGCCCAGAGCCUGAAUCAGCAUGUGUGUUAGUGGAAGCGUCUGGAAAGGCGCGCGAUACAGGGUGACAGCCCCGUACACAAAAGCGCAUGUGCUGUGAGCUCGAUGAGUAGGGCGGGACACGUGGUAUCCUGUCUGAAUAUGGGGGGACCAUCCUCCAAGGCUAAAUACUCCUGACUGACCGAUAGUGAACCAGUACCGUGAGGGAAAGGCGAAAAGAACCCCGGCGAGGGAGUGAAAAAGAACCUGAAACCGUGUACGUACAAGCAGUGGGAGCCUCUUUAUGGGGUGACUGCGUACCUUUUGUAUAAUGGGUCAGCGACUUAUAUUCUGUAGCAAGGUUAACCGUAUAGGGGAGCCGGAGGGAAACCGAGUCUUAACCGGGCGUUAAGUUGCAGGGUAUAGACCCGAAACCCGGUGAUCUAGCCAUGGGCAGGUUGAAGGUUGGGUAACACUAACUGGAGGACCGAACCGACUAAUGUUGAAAAAUUAGCGGAUGACCUGUGGCUGGGGGUGAAAGGCCAAUCAAACCGGGAGAUAGCUGGUUCUCCCCGAAAGCUAUUUAGGUAGCGCCUCGUGAAUUCAUCUCCGGGGGUAGAGCACUGUUUCGGCUAGGGGGCCAUCCCGGCUUACCAACCCGAUGCAAACUGCGAAUACCGGAGAAUGUUAUCACGGGAGACACACGGCGGGUGCUAACGUCCGUCGUGAAGAGGGAAACAACCCAGACCGCCAGCUAAGGUCCCAAAGUCAUGGUUAAGUGGGAAACGAUGUGGGAAGGCCCAGACAGCCAGGAUGUUGGCUUAGAAGCAGCCAUCAUUUAAAGAAAGCGUAAUAGCUCACUGGUCGAGUCGGCCUGCGCGGAAGAUGUAACGGGGCUAAACCAUGCACCGAAGCUGCGGCAGCGACACUGUGUGUUGUUGGGUAGGGGAGCGUUCUGUAAGCCUGCGAAGGUGGCCUGUGAGGGUUGCUGGAGGUAUCAGAAGUGCGAAUGCUGACAUAAGUAACGAUAAAGCGGGUGAAAAGCCCGCUCGCCGGAAGACCAAGGGUUCCUGUCCAACGUUAAUCGGGGCAGGGUGAGUCGACCCCUAAGGCGAGGCCGAAAGGCGUAGUCGAUGGGAAACGGGUUAAUAUUCCCGUACUUGGUGUUACUGCGAAGGGGGGACGGAGAAGGCUAUGUUGGCCGGGCGACGGUUGUCCCGGUUUAAGCGUGUAGGCUGGUUUUCCAGGCAAAUCCGGAAAAUCAAGGCUGAGGCGUGAUGACGAGGCACUACGGUGCUGAAGCAACAAAUGCCCUGCUUCCAGGAAAAGCCUCUAAGCAUCAGGUAACAUCAAAUCGUACCCCAAACCGACACAGGUGGUCAGGUAGAGAAUACCAAGGCGCUUGAGAGAACUCGGGUGAAGGAACUAGGCAAAAUGGUGCCGUAACUUCGGGAGAAGGCACGCUGACACGUAGGUGAAGUGAUUUACUCAUGGAGCUGAAGUCAGUCGAAGAUACCAGCUGGCUGCAACUGUUUAUUAAAAACACAGCACUGUGCAAACACGAAAGUGGACGUAUACGGUGUGACGCCUGCCCGGUGCCGGAAGGUUAAUUGAUGGGGUCAGCGCAAGCGAAGCUCCUGAUCGAAGCCCCGGUAAACGGCGGCCGUAACUAUAACGGUCCUAAGGUAGCGAAAUUCCUUGUCGGGUAAGUUCCGACCUGCACGAAUGGCGUAAUGAUGGCCAGGCUGUCUCCACCCGAGACUCAGUGAAAUUGAACUCGCUGUGAAGAUGCAGUGUACCCGCGGCAAGACGGAAAGACCCCGUGAACCUUUACUAUAGCUUGACACUGAACAUUGAGCCUUGAUGUGUAGGAUAGGUGGGAGGCUUUGAAGUGUGGACGCCAGUCUGCAUGGAGCCGACCUUGAAAUACCACCCUUUAAUGUUUGAUGUUCUAACGUGGACCCGUUACCCGGGUUGCGGACAGUGUCUGGUGGGUAGUUUGACUGGGGCGGUCUCCUCCUAAAGAGUAACGGAGGAGCACGAAGGUUGGCUAAUCCUGGUCGGACAUCAGGAGGUUAGUGCAAUGGCAUAAGCCAGCUUGACUGCGAGCGUGACGGCGCGAGCAGGUGCGAAAGCAGGUCAUAGUGAUCCGGUGGUUCUGAAUGGAAGGGCCAUCGCUCAACGGAUAAAAGGUACUCCGGGGAUAACAGGCUGAUACCGCCCAAGAGUUCAUAUCGACGGCGGUGUUUGGCACCUCGAUGUCGGCUCAUCACAUCCUGGGGCUGAAGUAGGUCCCAAGGGUAUGGCUGUUCGCCAUUUAAAGUGGUACGCGAGCUGGGUUUAGAACGUCGUGAGACAGUUCGGUCCCUAUCUGCCGUGGGCGCUGGAGAACUGAGGGGGGCUGCUCCUAGUACGAGAGGACCGGAGUGGACGCAUCACUGGUGUUCGGGUUGUCAUGCCAAUGGCACUGCCCGGUAGCUAAAUGCGGAAGAGAUAAGUGCUGAAAGCAUCUAAGCACGAAACUUGCCCCGAGAUGAGUUCUCCCUGAGACUUAGAGUCUCCUGAAGGAACGUUGAAGACGACGACGUUGAUAGGCCGGGUGUGUAAGCGCAGCGAUGCGUUGAGCUAACCGGUACUAAUGAACCGUGAGGCUUAACCUU
RNAcentral lists this ribosomal RNA (2899 nucleotides) under Salmonella enterica subsp. enterica serovar Sanjuan. RNAcentral describes it as "23S ribosomal RNA". It matches the Rfam family "Bacterial large subunit ribosomal RNA". Lineage: Bacteria; Pseudomonadati; Pseudomonadota; Gammaproteobacteria; Enterobacterales; Enterobacteriaceae. The record is from RNAcentral.